CCCUCAUGAUGACAUUGGGCCCACCUGUAUAAUCCCGGAGCACCUCUUUAAGAUCAGCUGUAGCAACCUUAAUUCCUCCCCGCCAGUACUGGAGGCUGGAAAGUCCAAGCUUGAAGGUGCUGGCCAAUCCCGUUCCCGGCGAUUGGGCCCCUCCCUGGCUUGCAGAGGCCUGAGUUCCCGUGGAGUCACCACGCGCCUUUCCUUGGGCCCAGCUGAAAGAGGCCAUCAAUCACAGCCGGCCCGCCAGGCCCA
Homo sapiens (human) is the source of this 252-nucleotide long non-coding RNA. RefSeq lists it as uncharacterized. Lineage: Eukaryota; Metazoa; Chordata; Mammalia; Primates; Hominidae. The transcript is spliced from 3 exons. The record is from RefSeq and is a predicted model, not a curated record.